RNAcentral lists this ribosomal RNA (370 nucleotides) under uncultured bacterium. Its description in RNAcentral is "bacterial SSU rRNA". It matches the Rfam family "Bacterial small subunit ribosomal RNA", at positions 29 to 388 of the family's 1533-position model. The record is from RNAcentral.
AUGAACGCUAGCGACAGGCUUAACACAUGCAAGUCGAGGGGCAGCAUAUAAAUAGCUUGCUAUUUAUGAUGGCGACCGGCGCACGGGUGAGUAACGCGUAUGCAACCUACCUACUACUGGGGGAUAGCCCGGCGAAAGUCGGAUUAAUACCGCGUAAAACAGGGGUCCCGCAUGGGAAUAUUUGUUAAAGAUUUUAUCGGUAGUAGAUGGGCAUGCGUUCCAUUAGCUAGUUGGCGGGGUAACGGCCCACCAAGGCAUCGAUGGAUAGGGGUUCUGAGAGGAAGGUCCCCCACACUGGUACUGAGACACGGACCAGACUCCUACGGGAGGCAGCAGUGAGGAAUAUUGGUCAAUGGGCGAGAGCUUGAAC